Long non-coding RNA from Medicago truncatula (barrel medic), 1583 nucleotides. RefSeq lists it as uncharacterized. Lineage: Eukaryota; Viridiplantae; Streptophyta; Magnoliopsida; Fabales; Fabaceae. The transcript is spliced from 3 exons. The record is from RefSeq and is a predicted model, not a curated record.
AAAUUCCUAGCAGGCAAUAAAAAUUAUGACUAUUUUGUAAAAUGAUAGCCAUAAUCAGCCACCAUCAUGAAAAUCACAAAGCUUUUGCCAAAAAAACAUAGAUUGGAAUGAUUUUAAAUCAUCACCCUCACUGCUAACACAGGAUGAGAAUAUUUUGGGAACUCCAUCUGCAGUUCUAUCCAUAUUUUUACUGUCAUUGUGCAGCUUUUGAGUUGCGGCACCAUCCUUCUGGUUAUUCUUAACAGCAGAUCGAUGUCGUUGAUGGGACCAAACGCACCCAAAAUUACCUCCUCCUAAAUACUGGAGUUGUACAUAUGAUAUAGAUAUUAGAAAGUUGGAAAACUUUUUAUUUCACCAAAGGCAUAUCACAGUUUGUCAACUCUGCACGAAGAUCUCCUAUGGCGUCAUUAUUAUUUGAAAAGUGAAAGAAACAUUUGAUUACUAAGUCCUAAUAUAUAUAUAUAUAUAUAUAUAUAUAUAUAUAUAUAUAUAUGUAUGUAUGUAUGUACUAGACAUGAUGAAUUUUGACAAGAACAGAAUAAUAGAGUGGAAAAGGAAGGAACGAACCGGUAUAUAUUUUGUGCAUGCGAGUAGCAGUGUAUUCGUCGGUAAAGGAGGGUAGAGUAAUGUUGUUUGAAAUAAGAGCCUCUUUGUCGACAUUUGAAGAAUUAAAAUUGAAGGUGCUACCUUGGAAAAGCUAAACCCAGAAGGCACGGGACAGCUGUCAAGGUGCCACCAUACUGAUACCUCGGGAGGGGAGAAGAAGAAGAUGAUGAGAACCCACGCACUUUAAACCUAGUAAAAACCUUGCGAGAAAACAUUGUCGAGGAGGAGAAAGGAAAUGAGCAAUAUGGAACGAAUAUCUAGCUGUGAGUCUUGUUCGGAUUCGGCGGCCAUGGCAAGGGGGAGAUGAUGAAAUUGCAAUGAGGACCACAUGCCACACUAUGACUGGCUAUUUCAUGUACAAUAGUUAAAAUUAUAAAUCACCAAUUUCUCCUCAUGCCUGCGACGGCGAUGGCGUCGGCGCUACCUCUUCAUGCAGCGGCCAGCCAGAAGUGCUCACGCGGUGAUGGCGUCACACUGCCUUCUCUUGUCACUGUUUUUUACUCAAUUCUCUCUGCUAACUGGUUUAUCUAUGUACUUUGUUUUGACCUUUUUCACAAUUUGCUGCUAUGAAUAUGGUUCACAAAUUACGGUUCUUCACCAUGAAUAUGGAUAAUUUCAAACAAGGACAUUGAUAACCUUAUAGCUCAAUUCACUCAGGUUACAUGGUCAGCAAUGGUUCUUUAUCACACAGACUGGGUGGCCUGUAUUGCAUGUACUGUCUUUACGAGACUCAACCAUUCAAACCUCCUUUUAAGGUCUAUAUAUCCCUUGGUAUGGCAAUUUUUUAGUUGAAUCAUAAGUGUCAUACAAUUAUUCUUGUUGGAAGGAAUGAAUUAUUUGAUUUGCUCAUAACAUAAGCUGUAUAAGGCUACACAUGUAUGUUUCUAUUUUUUGUUUGUGGUUUCAUAGGUUCAUUAAUUUUAUCCCUAUUUGAAUCAACAUGUUUUGUAAAAUGAAAAUAUGCCGGCAUUCGUGUA